UCAGUCAGUCAGCUGUGUUGGAUUUGUUGAUGUCUAUAAAAACAGUAAUGGAAAGCGGUAAUACGGAAAUUGAAGAGACCUCAGUUGUAGCCGCAAUCAAGCCCGAGACCAAGGUACUGUCAAUUGGAGAUGACGAAGACCUAAUUAGAGACAAGUCAGAAGAAAACAAGGAAAACUCAUUUCAUGAUGCUGUUCGAAAACGUUUGUGUGCACUAACAACGGGUAUUAAAAGUCCCCUCGAGCCUAUUGUAAUAGGGAGUUCAGUGAAUAACUUUGGUGCGGCUCGUAUUAUGAAAAAUAAUAAGCCCAGUCAAUAUCGUUUUUACUGUCUAAAAGGCAACGAUUGGAGAUCUCAUAUGAUUAUAUCUGGCCUAACAUUCAAUGCAAAGGAUGCUUUUAAAUAUGUGAAAAAUAGACUAAAAGAGGAAACCUGGAUAUCUGAGGAUACCAUAGAAGCUCCACUGAAAACAAACGGUAAUGGUGGCUUUCGCCUCGAAUCCGAUUUGUAUAUUCAAAAUAUUGUUGCGGAAGCACUUGAUGCAGAAUGGAAAAGGUUGCUUAAUUUCAUAAUAUUUUUACACAGAAAUUAUCGAUAAUAUUCUAAUAUAUGAAGACCAAUCUGAUAGCAUAAAAGUGUAUUGCAGCUUUAUCUAGCUGAAACGAAAAGCUUUAAUUGAAAGCUUUUGCCACAGUUGCGAAAUUACUAACGAUUAGUAUUUGGCCGGCUGCAGUGUAUAUAUAGCGUCAUCGAAGACUGUUGCCAAUAAGAAAGCUACAGAUAGUCAAGCCGAGCAGUUCCAAAAUUACAAUAAUAAUAAAUAAUAUGAAUAUCGAAAACGAGAUAGAAGAUAAAAAUGCUCUGGCGACACAGACAUCGACUACAAAAGUUUUGGCCAUAGGAAAUCCGACAGAGGUCAUAAAUUGCCCAAGCCCGGAACAUACUAAAAAUAAUAAUAAUAAUUCCAACAAGGUAAAACAAUUUAAAGAGGAAUGCACCAAUUAUUUGAGUUUAGUUCUGAUGGGAAAUCCAACGCCAGUCGACGAUGUCAGCGGCUUGUGUCCCAUUGAAUGGUUUGGAAUGGAAGUUAUCCGCAAAGCGAAUCAGCCUACUUGUUAUAAGUUUUACUGUUUUCCCGCACAGAGAACCCAACCUAAGCACGUUAAUGUAUAUUACUUCUACCAGACAAUUAAUGCAAAUGCCAUUUUGCGCGAUGUUAGGCGAUUUUUGAAGGAGGAACGUUGGAUGUCUAAACAUCUUUUAAUGGGGCCACUGAAGGCAAAACUAACUCCUAGUGCCUUUAGCUCUGAGCAAACUCAUAUUGAAACUUUUAUUUCUAAGGCCUUCGAUAUUGAGAGAAGGAAGGCAUUACCGUACCUGUUGUACUGUCACAGAGAACAUGUACAAAAUAAGAAGUAUCGUAAAUAAAUUAAAUAAUAGCUGUACUUUAUGUAUAUUUUAAAAUUUUCAUUAAUAUAAGCAAAACAACAAACUUACAGAUCUCUCAUUUCUGAGGACGUAAUAUAUCUACACGAAAACAUUACUGUAAGCUCAAGCGAACAGCUGUUGGAUGUAAACAACAAACUUAAAAAAAAUAAUAAUGAUACGAAAAGCUUUAAGAGAGUAGCUUACAUACAUAUAUAUAUGUACAUGUACGAAUAAAUAGCAAUACGAUUUCAAAGUGAGAUGCAUAUGUGUAAACGUAAGCGAAAAGUAAACAUGGAAAUCAAUAAAACAGAAAUUGAAGAAAAGUCAGGUAAUACGAGCAUUUUAGAAGAUAGAUAGAAGAUAUCUGAUUUUUAUGAUGCACAUUUCCAGCCAUAGCUAAAUUGACAUAUACUCAAAAAGUAUUAUCAAUUGGAGAUGACGAAAGCACAGCGAGUGAAAAAUCUGUUGAGAAUCGUAACGCGGAUAUUUUACAAGAGAGUUUCAGAAAACAUUUGUGCCAGCUCUUAACUGGGAGCCGAAUAGCCAUCGAAGUUGUUGAAGAUUGGAAUAGAGUGGAUAGAUUUGGAGUAACUAGUAUUAAAAAAGAUAAACAACCCAGGCGCUAUCAUUUUUAUCUGGUGCAUGGGAAUAUUUACAAGCCGGGUGAUAUUUUCUCUGAGCCGGUAUUCGAUGGAAAGGCAAUCAUGGAGGUUGUAAGGAAUCGACUAAUUGGUGAGAAUUGGAUAUCAGAAAACGUCAUUGAAACACCUCUCAGAACUAAAUUCGAUCGUAGUCUAUACCACAGCUCCGAUCAAUUCAUUCAGCAAGUUGUUUCGGAUGCUCUGAACACAGAAGCGCCGAAACUCUUUAGGUUCCUGCAAUUCUUACA
This 2315-nucleotide unclassified non-coding RNA is filed under the name Drosophila mojavensis. RNAcentral's name for it is "GI26906". The record is from RNAcentral. Lineage: Eukaryota; Metazoa; Arthropoda; Insecta; Diptera; Drosophilidae.